This 528-nucleotide ribosomal RNA is filed under the name Triticum aestivum (bread wheat). RNAcentral's name for it is "partial small subunit ribosomal RNA". Lineage: Eukaryota; Viridiplantae; Streptophyta; Magnoliopsida; Poales; Poaceae. The record is from RNAcentral.
AUGAGGCCACCGGCGGCUCUUGUGGUCGUAGCCGCCGUCCUUCUCGUGUUGUCUGGUGUCGAUGCGACCGUGGAAACAACUUGCAAGGCGGCGGCCGACGAGGACGCGCAUGUCAACUACGACUUCUGCGUGUCGGAGUUGAGAAAGCACUACCAGAGCUCCGACGCAGACACAUGGGGCCUGGCCAAGAUAGCAGCCAACAUGGGCGUCAACAACGCCUAUGGCGCCAUCCAUGACAUCGAGCGCCUACUAGCGAGGCCGGGCACGGAUGCCAAGACGAAGGUGGCCCUUGGGCAAUGCCAGGGGCUGUACGACAACAUGAAGUUUGCGUUUGCCGGAGCCUACGACGAGAUCAACGGUCGGAAUUACGCCGCAGGGAAGGAGGAGGUCGCAAAGGCCGUCUCCCUGGCGCACCAGUGCGACGAUGCCUUUGUUAAGGCCGCCGUCCCGUCGCCUCUCAAGCAACGUAGCCUCUACUCCGUGCAGACAGCGAUAGUCUGCAGGGCCAUCACUAACCUUAUCAAGUGA